Molecule: transfer RNA, 61 nt
Filed under: Liposcelis bostrychophila
Lineage: Eukaryota; Metazoa; Arthropoda; Insecta; Psocodea; Liposcelididae
Description: tRNA-Phe
Source: RNAcentral
AUGUCUAUAGCUUAAAUAAAGUAUAACUUUGAAGAGGUUAAGAUGAUUGAAUCUGGAUUUU